CAGUAGCCACGGGAAUACGGGGGGGGCGAGCGUUGUCCGAAGUUACUGGGCGUAAAGCGCGUGUAGGCGGGUUGUUAAGUCCGCUGUGAAAGCCCGGUGCUCAACGCCGGAGGGUCGGUGGAUACUGGCAGUCUUGAAGUGGCUAGGGGGAAAUGGAAUUACCGGUGUAGCGGUGAAAUGCGUAGAUAUCGGUAGGAACACCAGUGGCGAAGGCGGUUUCCUGGAGCUAACUUGACGCUGAGACGCGAAAGCUGGGGGAGCAAACGGGAUUAGAUACCCGGGUAGUCCCUGUCUCUUAUAC
RNAcentral lists this ribosomal RNA (301 nucleotides) under uncultured bacterium. RNAcentral describes it as "partial 16S ribosomal RNA". It matches the Rfam family "Bacterial small subunit ribosomal RNA", at positions 509 to 807 of the family's 1533-position model. The record is from RNAcentral.